AACGGAUAUCUCGGCUCUCGCAUCGAUGAAGAACGUAGCGAAAUGCGAUACUUGGUGUGAAUUGCAGAAUCCCGUGAACCAUCGAGUCUUUGAACGCGAGUUGCGCCCAAAGCCAUUAGGCCGAGGGCACGUCUGCCUGGGCGUCACACA
Molecule: ribosomal RNA, 150 nt
Filed under: Staphylea pinnata
Lineage: Eukaryota; Viridiplantae; Streptophyta; Magnoliopsida; Crossosomatales; Staphyleaceae
Description: 5.8S ribosomal RNA
Rfam family: 5.8S ribosomal RNA
About the family: 5.8S ribosomal RNA (5.8S rRNA) is a component of the large subunit of the eukaryotic ribosome. It is transcribed by RNA polymerase I as part of the 45S precursor that also contains 18S and 28S rRNA. Functionally, it is thought that 5.8S rRNA may be involved in ribosome translocation.
Source: RNAcentral